UGAGCCAGGAGGAGGAGCAGAAGGAGCAGGUUGAGUUGCAGUCCGUUGUGGGCAUCAGAGAUCCUGAGAGAAGGAGCAAUCCAUCCAGUCCCCCUCAGGACCCAUUUUUCAGGAGGAUCUCUCAGGAAGAUCCAAGUAAGGACACCUCAGGAGGGAAGACUCGAACGAAGUCACUGAAAGGCCUGCAGAAGCAAUCAAGUUGAUCAAGCCUGCCAGAAAUACUUCUUCAGUCAAAAGCUUUUGGCUCUUUC
Non-coding RNA from Python bivittatus (Burmese python), 251 nucleotides. The record is from RefSeq and is a predicted model, not a curated record. Lineage: Eukaryota; Metazoa; Chordata; Lepidosauria; Squamata; Pythonidae.